GGCGGAAACAAAAUUAAGUUGUUUCAUACAAACUAUGAUCGGCGACGGAUGAAAAACGAACCCAUCGCCGGCCAGACAAAAACAAGAUUAUCUGAUGCAGUAGAAUUGCGGGAUUUGUCAUAGAAUCGUCGGUGUGCCGUUGAUGUAAAAGAGUUGGAGUUGUCUUAUAAUUGACGAAGAUGAUGAUGAAUAAAGAUUUGAGUUUUUCGUAGGGGUGAGUGGUUUAAAAUCCAAGAAAAAGUUAUAGGAGUUUCGGGAUUUUUUGACCGUAGGGGUAUUUGGAGUAUUUUUGUAUAUUUUUAUUUUCUUGAUUUCUA
This 317-nucleotide long non-coding RNA is filed under the name Linum usitatissimum (flax). RNAcentral describes it as "long non-coding RNA (LUSI_LNC002773)". Lineage: Eukaryota; Viridiplantae; Streptophyta; Magnoliopsida; Malpighiales; Linaceae. The record is from RNAcentral.